Molecule: unclassified non-coding RNA, 299 nt
Filed under: Bombus terrestris (buff-tailed bumblebee)
Lineage: Eukaryota; Metazoa; Arthropoda; Insecta; Hymenoptera; Apidae
Description: misc RNA ENSBTSG00005034310.1
Source: RNAcentral
GUUGAUUUCUACUUUUUUCGAUGGCUUAAUGAAUUGGAUUUUCAACGAGAAGAGAAAAAGGAUGUUCGUUGUAUCGUACAAUCGUCGUGUCGAUCUGAAUCACAUCGUCGUAGAGGAACCACAUCCAAUCGAAUCACCAAGUUAAAGAACCGACGAUCAUUUUGCAAGAAAACACAUUAAUCUCGAUGUACCAGGUCUGUAAAUAUGAAACCGGAAUUUGCCUAUAGAUGGCCCUAGCCGAUAAUGUAGUUAUCACUAAACUGCAUCAUUGAUGUCAAAAGUCUUUGUUGACAUCUCAC